Molecule: long non-coding RNA, 471 nt
Organism: Dendronephthya gigantea
Lineage: Eukaryota; Metazoa; Cnidaria; Anthozoa; Malacalcyonacea; Nephtheidae
Exons: 3
Source: RefSeq, a predicted model, not a curated record
UUCUCGGUUUUCGGUAUUGUUUUCGGCAUAUAUUUUCUCCGCAUUUCAUCUAAAAAGACUCUUUUUCCCUGUUCAACAAGUUAAAUGGAGAAGUGAUUUUUUGCUCUACAUAUGAUGCUGUGAAUGGCCUAAUUCACCUAUCGGGAGAUUAAUUUUUACCUCAGAUGAAUUUAAAACAUUAAACAUGAUGACUGUGAUGAAGAUGCUAUUGAAUUUGGGGAUGGCUUUUUUGCAAAUUACUGGAACAUUAAACUGUUAAUUUUACCAUGUUGACUUUGUUAUUCAUAGUUAAGAUAGUUAUUUAAAUGGAAAAUAAAUUUAUACAGACAUGCAUUGACUGAGCAGUUUGUUUUCAAUUUGCAGCAACUUUUAUAAUUUUCUGGACAGUUUUACCCUCCCCACCAUUCAAAGGAAUAUUAUCAUGGGGCUAAUCAGGAAUUGAAGGUUAAUAGAUUAUAGACUAAUAGAGGA